This 579-nucleotide small RNA is filed under the name Pan troglodytes (chimpanzee). RNAcentral's name for it is "retained intron". Lineage: Eukaryota; Metazoa; Chordata; Mammalia; Primates; Hominidae. The record is from RNAcentral.
GACGCUUCUGCAGUACAUUCGAGCUGUCCGCUUCAAUGGCAGCGCAGGAACCCCUGUGAUGUUCAACGAGAACGGAGAUGCGCCCGGGCGGUACGACAUCUUCCAGUACCAGGCGACCAAUGGCAGUGCCAGCAGUGGCGGGUACCAGGCAGUGGGCCAGUGGGCAGAGACCCUCAGACUGGAUGUGAGUGUGCAGACCGAGCCCCGGGUGGGCAUGGGCCCAGGAUCCCGGAGGCAGACGCCCCAGCCUGUGUUUUGUGCGUCCCAGGUGGAGGCCCUGCAGUGGUCUGGCGACCCCCACGAGGUGCCCUCAUCUCUGUGCAGCCUGCCCUGCGGGCCGGGGGAGCGGAAGAAGAUGGUGAAGGGCGUCCCCUGCUGUUGGCACUGCGAGGCCUGUGACGGGUACCGCUUCCAGGUGGACGAGUUCACAUGCGAGGCCUGUCCUGGGGACAUGAGGCCCACGCCCAACCACACGGGCUGCCGCCCCACACCUGUGGUGCGCCUGAGCUGGUCCUCCCCCUGGGCAGCCCCGCCGCUCCUCCUGGCCGUGCUAGGCAUCGUGGCCACUACCACGGUGGU